UUAGAUCAAUGAAAAUAAAAAUUGCCGUUUCGUCAAAUCCUGUCGCAGCCAAAAACCCUAAACCUUUGAGCACACAGACAGAGAGGAAGAUGGGAAAUACAAGCAAAGACCUUCUGCAAUUCGAGCACAAAAAGGCUUCAACUUCACCUUUAGAAAGCACGCUACUUGGUUGUAAAACUGCCUCAACGAAGAAAGCUCAAGCCGAAAGGAAACCCGGCCCUGCUCUUCCUCUUCCCAAAAGCCAAGUUUUGGGAGAAGUAAGGGACUUCUUGGAAGUCAUAUCAGAAGCUAACGAAUGACUAAAGCAGGAUGCAAAGGAUAAUCCAGAAAACUAUGAUAUUGACGUGCUCACUGGAAAUGAAUCUCAAGUCGUUAAUAUGGAGUUGAUGCUGGGCGUUGCUGAUCUUCAAACUCCUUAGGCUGUGGCUGCUGCUGAAUCUGCAAUUGUUGGUUGUCACCCUGUUAUACCAUUGGCCGUCAACAGUAGCAGAGAGGAAUCAGAGGACAGCAGUGAUGAUGACAGCAGCAGCGAUGAUAGUGACGACGAAGAUAGUUCCGAUGAUAGUAGCAGCAAUGAUAAUGAAGACGAAGAUAGUGAUGAAAUCAAAGAUGAUACAAGUGAUAAAGAGGAUAAGAAAACAAAGGAAAACGUUUUGAAAACCAAAUUGUAAAAGCCUAGGGUUCCACCAUCCCCUUAACAAUCCUACGUAGUUCUUCUAAUUCCUUAUGAAUUACACAUGCAUGUUUCGAAGGUUAGGUUUUCCUAAAGUAUGCCCUACUUGGAACCCCCAACAUAGAACGUAUAUCUAACAUGCAAAUUGCCCAAGGCGUCCAGAUUGAAUGUGAACAUUCAAGACUCAUUAAGUUUUGUGAAAACCUUUUGAAAAACUAUGUAA
Long non-coding RNA from Pyrus x bretschneideri (Chinese white pear), 896 nucleotides. RefSeq lists it as uncharacterized. The record is from RefSeq and is a predicted model, not a curated record. The transcript is spliced from 5 exons. Lineage: Eukaryota; Viridiplantae; Streptophyta; Magnoliopsida; Rosales; Rosaceae.